UAUUAGUUCUGUUGCUGUCAUAAAAUACC
This 29-nucleotide non-coding RNA is filed under the name Rattus norvegicus (Norway rat). The record is from RNAcentral. Lineage: Eukaryota; Metazoa; Chordata; Mammalia; Rodentia; Muridae.